UGCCAGCCGCCGCGGUAAUACGAAGGGACCUAGCGUAGUUCGGAAUUACUGGGCUUAAAGAGCUCGUAGGUGGUUAAAAAAGUUGAUGGUGAAAUCCCAAGGCUCAACCUUGGAACUGCCAUCAAAACUUUUUAGCUAGAGUAUGAUAGAGGAAAGUGGAAUUUCUAGUGUAGAGGUGAAAUUCGUAGAUAUUAGAAAGAACACCAAAUGCGAAGGCAACUUUCUGGAUCAUUACUGACACUGAGGAGCGAAAGCAUGGGUAGCGAAGAGGAUUAGAUA
Molecule: ribosomal RNA, 279 nt
Filed under: uncultured bacterium
Lineage: Bacteria
Description: partial 16S ribosomal RNA
Rfam family: Bacterial small subunit ribosomal RNA
Source: RNAcentral